This 453-nucleotide long non-coding RNA is filed under the name Strigops habroptila (Kakapo). Its description in RNAcentral is "lncRNA (ENSSHBG00005010575.1)". Lineage: Eukaryota; Metazoa; Chordata; Aves; Psittaciformes; Psittacidae. The record is from RNAcentral.
GUUUGAGUCAGCUACAGAGGCAUCAGCCAUUCUGUGCAGCAGCAAAUAGAGUGUGCUCGAGUCCUUCAGAGACAGUAAAAAAAGGGUACAAAGGAAAAUAGGGGGAGACAACAAAGUCUAAAGCCAUAAUGAAAGAGCAAACUGCAAACGAGACCCUCCGGCAGAGCGACGGGGCUGCGGUCCCAGGGGCAGACGCACAUGCUCGCGUGACAACUGAGGCCAUUAAAGUAAAGAGUGCCAAUUUUAGCUAGAAUGAAAACUCCCAAAUCUGUUUCAAAAAAGGCGUAUGUGAGGUGGGUGCUGUAAUUAAUGGCUUUUAUAUAUUAGUUUUCUCUAUCACACCUACUAUUCAGAAUACAGAAAAAUUAGUAGAAGUUUUAGCGGUUCGUAGGCAGAUAUGUUUAUAGGAGUGAGCGCAGCCAGAACUGUUGGUGUUCAGUCUGUAUGUUCAGG